RNAcentral lists this ribosomal RNA (514 nucleotides) under uncultured bacterium. Its description in RNAcentral is "bacterial SSU rRNA". It matches the Rfam family "Bacterial small subunit ribosomal RNA", at positions 8 to 518 of the family's 1533-position model. The record is from RNAcentral.
AGAGUUGAUCAUGGCUCAGGAUGAACGCUGGCGGCGUGCCUAACACAUGCAAGUCGAACGAAGCAUACGGACUGGUAGAUUCGUCGAAGGACCGUAUGACUUAGUGGCGGACGGGUGAGUAAUGUAUGAGCAACCUGCCUUUCAGAGGGGGACAACAGUUGGAAACGACUGCUAAUACCGCGUAACGUAUCGUGAGGGCAUCCUCGUGAUACCAAAGGAGCAAUCCGCUGAAAGAUGGGCUCAUAUCUGAUUAGCUUGUUGGCGGGGUAACGGCCCACCAAGGCGACGAUCAGUAGCCGGGCUGAGAGGUUGGACGGCCACAUUGGGACUGAGAUACGGCCCAGACUCCUACGGGAGGCAGCAGUGGGGAAUAUUGGGCAAUGGGCGAAAGCCUCGACCCAGCAACGCCGCGUGAAGGAAGAAGGUCUUCGGAUUGUAAACUUCUUUUAUGAGGGACGAAGGACGUGACGGUACCUCAUGAAUAAGCCACGGCUAACUACGUGCCAGCCGCCGC